Long non-coding RNA from Triticum dicoccoides, 1530 nucleotides. RefSeq lists it as uncharacterized. The record is from RefSeq and is a predicted model, not a curated record. The transcript has 6 exons. NCBI's taxonomy places the organism in Eukaryota, Viridiplantae, Streptophyta, Magnoliopsida, Poales, Poaceae.
UCUUAGCUUUGGGGGUUUUAACAUAAGAAUGGUAUGAUGCUCCAGACUCGACGACAAGUGCUAUCCUCAUGAGGCCAGACAAGUCGUUGUGCCAAUCCAGCGAGAGUGUCCAACAGCGGAAAGUCAUCUGAAGAAUCAUGUCCCAGUGAGUAGUCCAGCUCCAGCAACAAGACCACAUCUGGCUUCCACCAAGAAGCUGGACCAGCGGCAUUGUACUCAGAUUCAAUGAUGACAACACGCACACCUUUCCCUGAUGCUUGGGCAAAGGCAUGUAUGUCCGAUGUGCAGGCAAAACUUUAUAGAUGCAGAUUACAUACAUUAGAAAUUGCCAACUCGGUGGAUGAUAAAUACUAUGACUUGGGACUCAGAAAAAAGAUCAACACGUAGAUGCAGAUUACAUAGAUCAGGACUUGCUAACUCGGCGUAUGACACAUACUAAACGACAUCAACACGUAGGUGAGACCAUUGACUAUUAGAGGUGAGUCGGCAAGCUGUUUUCUUCCAUGGUUUGGCAUGUAACUUUGUGUUCUCUAGCUCAUUUUAGUUUUAUAUUUUUCUAACAAACAAGACCAACCUUAACUUAAGAAGAAUAGCAUCAUUAUAACCAUGAAAAAAAAUCUGCUUAAAUGUAAGGCUUUUGUUCGUCUAUUAAGUCAUUACCCGUCUAAACGAGACACGGAAAUAAUGAAUUCUUACAUGGUAAGUUUUUGUUUCAUUUUCAUUCUUUGCCUUAUCCCGUGUUGGAAAAGAAGUUCAAUUGUUUUUUUCCUCACAAUGUACCAAAGAUUCUGAUGAAAGAUGCUUAUUUUUCUCUCAGCUUCAAGAAACAGUCACUAUAUACUCUGUUUUGUAUAUAUUAUGUAGUUGUAAGGAGAUGUUUUAUUUUCUUUAUAUGCUACUAUUUUAACAUCUUGGAAGAGUCCUGAAUUUAUUGGAGACAACAAAGUGGGCGCACCAUGUGAGUUAUUUGGCACCUUGAUGCAGCAAAUCAACACAUGUUUGAGCUACAACGGAGGUCACAUAAAUAAAUCAGAGGAAUAGACUCGGCAAGGAAGGGAGCUACUCCAGUGUAGUCGGUGGAAUUGACUGGCAAAGUAAAUCAUGAAUCUCCUGGUUGGACCAAGAGGCUAAGAAUUGGGGCUGCACCUCCUACAACAGUCAGUUUCAUCAGUGGCCUGCCAACAACACUGGUGAAGGAAUGAGGGUGGCCCGAGACCGAUAACAGGGGGCUCUUGAACUGGCAAAGCCAGAAGCCACCAUCGCUUCAUUGUCCCCGGAGAUCGUUUGGUGUUGUCCGAUGGAUAUCACGUGACGGAGUGGAGACGCACACUCCCCUGCCCCAACUUUGGUGGCGCCAUCUACCAAUGCGGGGCACAGUCCUGCCUGACCCGGCCUACAUCUUGAUUGUAAAUUUCUCUCACCUUCUAUCUCGUGUUCAUGUGGUCGUAUUGAUUUUGCCUUUUGAGAAGUGUUGAAAGAAGAUUAUGUGCUUCAGACGACUGAAUGUCCAGUAAUAUCAUCAACCUUCAG